This 372-nucleotide ribosomal RNA is filed under the name uncultured organism. RNAcentral describes it as "bacterial SSU rRNA". It matches the Rfam family "Bacterial small subunit ribosomal RNA", at positions 526 to 896 of the family's 1533-position model. The record is from RNAcentral.
CAGAGGGGGCAAGCGUUGUUCGGAAUUACUGGGCGUAAAGGGCGCGUAGGCGGCCUUCUAAGUCGAACGUGAAAUCCCCGGGCUCAACCCGGGAACUGCGUCCGAUACUGGAAGGCUUGAAUCCGGGAGAGGGAUGCGGAAUUCCAGGUGUAGCGGUGAAAUGCGUAGAUAUCUGGAGGAACACCGGUGGCGAAGGCGGCAUCCUGGACCGGCAUUGACGCUGAGGCGCGAAAGCUAGGGGAGCAAACGAGAUUAGAUACCCCGGUAGUCCUAGCCCUAAACGAUGAAUGCUUGGUGUGGCGGGUAUCGAUCCCUGCCGUGCCGAAGCUAACGCAUUAAGCAUUCCGCCUGGGGAGUACGGUCGCAAGGCUG